This 443-nucleotide long non-coding RNA is filed under the name Amborella trichopoda. RNAcentral describes it as "long non-coding RNA (ATRI_LNC001907)". Lineage: Eukaryota; Viridiplantae; Streptophyta; Magnoliopsida; Amborellales; Amborellaceae. The record is from RNAcentral.
UUCACCUCACAUGCUAGGAGUGAAAAAAAUAUUGAGAGAAUGGACCUAACAUAAUUGAUUUUUUAGGUGGAAUUGUAGUAAUUGCUGUGAGACAAGAAAGAGAAGGUAGAUGAAUAAAAAGUUGAGAGGAAGGAGAUACAAGAGGAGUACGAGUUUGAGAUGAGAGAGUAGGUGAUUGUUUUUUUGUGUGUGGCUGGAGGAUGGAUAAUUAUAACCUUUGAUGAAGAAAGAAUAGUUGAGGCUAAAAAAGGUCUAUUACUUUUAUUUUAUUUAUAUAAUGGGGAUUCUUUCAUUUACUUUUUGUAAAAAAGAGGUCUCACUCAUUAGAUCUUAAAGUGGAUGGCUUGGGGCACUCGCAAAGUUUGAUAAAAUUUUUUUUAGGAAUUUUGUGUCUAACAAUGACACUCUUACAACCACCCAUUUUGAAAUCUAACGGAUAAAAA